UACGAAGGGGACUAGCGUUGUUCGGAAUUACUGGGCGUAAAGCGCACGCAGGCGGUUCGCCAAGUUUGGAGUGACAGUUGUCGGCUCAACCGACAAAGGACUUCAAAAACUGGUGAACUUGAGGACGCGAGAGGAACAUGGAACUCCAGGUGUAGUAGUGAAAUGCGUAGAUAUCUGGAAGAACACCAAUGGCGAAGGCAAUGUUCUGGCUCGUUUCUGACGCUCAGGUGCGAAAGCCAGGGGAGCGAACGGG
This 253-nucleotide ribosomal RNA is filed under the name uncultured bacterium. RNAcentral's name for it is "partial 16S ribosomal RNA". It matches the Rfam family "Bacterial small subunit ribosomal RNA", at positions 524 to 776 of the family's 1533-position model. The record is from RNAcentral.